UGAUUUUCAGAAUGUUCUUAGAAAAGAACUGC
Molecule: non-coding RNA, 32 nt
Filed under: Homo sapiens (human)
Lineage: Eukaryota; Metazoa; Chordata; Mammalia; Primates; Hominidae
Source: RNAcentral